GAAACAACAAACAACAAAAUGACAACCACAGAAAUGAUAAACUCUUGCACUUUCCUUCAGAAAAGGAAAAAAUGUUUUUUCUUCAGAAUAACAUGUUUUUAUUAUUAUAUUAUAUUUGCAAUUAUGUGUCAACACAGACUUCCUGAUGUUUAUAUUUAUGGGCAACGGGGUGGAGCUGUGGCCUCAGCUCUGACGUCAGACCGCUCCCAUCUGAGAGAGCUGCACCUGAUUUCAGUCACUGUGCUGGAGCCAGCAGAUGAACUUUUUGCUUGUCUGGGGCAUCCAAACUGUAGACUGGAGACACUCAGCUUUGAGAACGUCACUUUGUCAGAGAACAGCUGUGCUGCUCUGCUCAGUGCUCUGAAGUCCAACCCCCCCUAUCUGAAACGUCUGGAUCUAAUAGGAUGCAACCUGGAGGGCGCAGGGAUGAAACAACUGUAUUAUUACCUGGAGAGUCCACACUGUAAACUACAGUUUAAAAGAGUGACUUCAGUUUAGACACUGCACUGUGUCAUCCACACACUGGUGAUGGCAAGCUACAUUGUAGCCACAGCCACCCU
This is a long non-coding RNA of Haplochromis burtoni (Burton's mouthbrooder), 560 nucleotides long. RefSeq lists it as uncharacterized. Lineage: Eukaryota; Metazoa; Chordata; Actinopteri; Cichliformes; Cichlidae. The record is from RefSeq and is a predicted model, not a curated record. The transcript is spliced from 4 exons.